This is a long non-coding RNA of Equus quagga, 502 nucleotides long. RefSeq lists it as uncharacterized. The record is from RefSeq and is a predicted model, not a curated record. NCBI's taxonomy places the organism in Eukaryota, Metazoa, Chordata, Mammalia, Perissodactyla, Equidae. The transcript is spliced from 2 exons.
GGCGGGGCGAUCCGGCCAAUCAGGGGAGAAGAAUGAGAAGCGCGCGCAGGAGCCCGCAAGCCCGAAGGGCCAAGGAGGCGCUUUGAUUAUUUGUGCGCCUGCGCAGUAGACCAGAGUGUAGCGGCGAGGGCUUUCUCUUGAGGCUGUGCAGCUCACACAACAGGGCCAGGAAACUCCCACCGCUCAACGGACACUGUUACUCUCUGGCGGCUGCAGCCGCUGCCUCCGCGGCCGCUGCUAAGUCCUCGAGAGCCCGACGCGCGACCAAGUGGCUGGCAGCCAUCUUGCAGUGUCUUACAGGAUGCGCAUGCGCCAGCUCCUGCUAGCCAUUCACUACGCAGACUCCCAGACCGAACAAUAUUUUACACUCCCCUUGGACGAUACCACUCACAGCCGCUUGACUAUUUGGAUUAUAGGAAGAGGAAGUAAAUGAAGUGAAACGAAAAAUUUCCCUGUAAAAUUUUCGAGACGAGGAAACAAUAAAAGGCAAGUUGUGAUGUCA